Molecule: ribosomal RNA, 1256 nt
Filed under: uncultured beta proteobacterium
Lineage: Bacteria; Pseudomonadati; Pseudomonadota; Betaproteobacteria
Description: bacterial SSU rRNA
Rfam family: Bacterial small subunit ribosomal RNA
Source: RNAcentral
GAACGGCAGCACGACUCGGUCUGGUGGCGAGUGGCGAACGGGUGAGUAAUAUAUCGGAACGUACCCUGGAGUGGGGAUAACGCAGCGAAAGUUGCGCUAAUACCGCAUACGAUCUACGGAUGAAAGUGGGGGCUCGCAAGACCUCAUGCUCGUGGAGCGGCCGAUAUCUGAUUAGCUAGUUGGUAGGGUAAAAGCCUACCAAGGCAUCGAUCAGUAGCUGGUCUGAGAGGACGACCAGCCACACUGGGACUGAGACACGGCCCAGACUCCUACGGGAGGCAGCAGUGGGGAAUUUUGGACAAUGGGGGCAACCCUGAUCCAGCAAUGCCGCGUGAGUGAAGAAGGCCUUCGGGUUGUAAAGCUCUUUUGUCAGGGAAGAAACGGUGAAGGCUAAUAUCCUUUGCUAAUGACGGUACCUGAAGAAUAAGCACCGGCUAACUACGUGCCAGCAGCCGCGGUAAUACGUAGGGUGCAAGCGUUAAUCGGAAUUACUGGGCGUAAAGCGUGCGCAGGCGGUUAUGUAAGUCAGAUGUGAAAUCCCCGGGCUUAACCUGGGAAUGGCAUUUGAGACUGCAUGGCUAGAGUGUGUCAGAGGGGGGUAGAAUUCCGCGUGUAGCAGUGAAAUGCGUAGAUAUGUGGAGGAAUACCGAUGGCGAAGGCAGCCCCCUGGGGUAACACUGACGGUCAUGCACGAAAGCGUGGGAGCAAACAGGAUUAGAUACCCUGGUAGUCCACGCCCUUAACGAUGUCUACUAGUUGUCGGGUCUUAAUUGACUUGGUAACGCAGCUAACGCGUGAAGUAGACCGCCUGGGGAGUACGGUCGCAAGAUUAAACUCAAAGGAAUUGACGGGGACCCGCACAAGCGGUGGAUGAUGUGGAUUAAUUCGAUGCAACGCGAAAAACCUUACCUACCCUUGACAUGUACGGAAGCCUUGAGAGAUCGAGGCGUGCUCGAAAGAGAGCCGUAACACAGGUGCUGCAUGGCUGUCGUCAGCUCGUGUCGUGAGAUGUUGGGUUAAGUCCCGCAACGAGCGCAACCCUUGUCAUUAGUUGCUACGAAAGGGCACUCUAAUGAGACUGCCGGUGACAAACCGGAGGAAGGUGGGGAUGACGUCAAGUCCUCAUGGCCCUUAUGGGUAGGGCUUCACACGUCAUACAAUGGUACAUACAGAGGGCCGCCAACCCGCGAGGGGGAGCUAAUCCCAGAAAGUGUAUCGUAGUCCGGAUUGUAGUCUGCAACUCGACUACAUGAAGU